RNAcentral lists this ribosomal RNA (440 nucleotides) under uncultured bacterium. RNAcentral describes it as "partial 16S ribosomal RNA". It matches the Rfam family "Bacterial small subunit ribosomal RNA", at positions 338 to 795 of the family's 1533-position model. The record is from RNAcentral.
CCUACGGGAGGCAGCAGUGGGGAAUAUUGCACAAUGGGGGAAACCCUGAUGCAGCGACGCCGCGUGCGUGAAGAAGUAUUUCGGUAUGUAAAGCUCUAUCAGCAGGGAAGAAAAUGACGGUACCUGAUUAAGAAGCCCCGGUUAACUACGUGCCAGCAGCCGCGGGAAUACGUAGGGGGCAAGCGUUAUCCGGAUUUACUGGGUGUAAAGGGAGCGUAGACGGCAGCGCAAGUCUGAGGUGAAAUGCCGGGGCUUAACCCCGGAACUGCUUUGGAAACUGUGCAGCUAGAGUGCAGGAGAGGUAAGUGGAAUUCCUGGUGUAGCGGUGAAAUGCGUAGAUAUUAGGAAGAACACCGAUGGCGAAGGCAGCUUACUGGGCUGUUACUGACGUUGAGGCUCGAAAGCGUGGGGAGCAAACAGGAUUAGAUACCCUUGUAGUC